RNAcentral lists this ribosomal RNA (485 nucleotides) under uncultured bacterium. RNAcentral describes it as "partial 16S ribosomal RNA". It matches the Rfam family "Bacterial small subunit ribosomal RNA", at positions 355 to 833 of the family's 1533-position model. The record is from RNAcentral.
UGGGGAAUUUUGGACAAUGGGCGAAAGCCUGAUCCAGCAAUGCCGCGUGUGUGAAGAAGGCCUUCGGGUUGUAAAGCACUUUUGUCCGGAAAGAAAUCCUUGGCUCUAAUACAGUCGGGGGAUGACGGUACCGGAAGAAUAAGCACCGGCUAACUACGUGCCGGCAGCCGCGGUAAUACGUAGGGUGCAAGCGUUAAUCGGAAUUACUGGGCGUAAAGCGUGCGCAGGCGGUUUGCUAAGACCGAUGUGAAAUCCCCGGGCUCAACCUGGGAACUGCAUUGGUGACUGGCAGGCUAGAGUAUGGCAGAGGGGGGUAGAAUUCCACGUGUAGCAGUGAAAUGCGUAGAGAUGUGGAGGAAUACCGAUGGCGAAGGCAGCCCCCUGGGCCAAUACUGACGCUCAUGCACGAAAGCGUGGGGAGCAAACAGGAUUAGUACCCUGGUAGUCCCACGCCCUAAACGAUGUCACUAGUUGUUGGGGAUUCA